Myotis lucifugus (little brown bat) is the source of this 2626-nucleotide long non-coding RNA. RefSeq lists it as uncharacterized. The record is from RefSeq and is a predicted model, not a curated record. The transcript is spliced from 4 exons. Lineage: Eukaryota; Metazoa; Chordata; Mammalia; Chiroptera; Vespertilionidae.
CCCGGGAGAAAGCACAAUAACAUUACUUGAAGGGAGAUAAGGGAGGAGUUUGUUGGCCAAUAUGGUUACAGUGCUUCAUACUGACAAGUGUCAAAUCAUUCCCAGUCUAGCCACAGAGGAGGAUCACAUAGUUCCUCAGUCUAACUUGUGAAGGAAGCCGGUGUUUAACAGCUAAAAGAAGUUAUCCUCCUUUAUCGGAAUCGGUUUCUCUGCCAGUCCUUCACUUCCCAUCUUGUCCCACGGAGAUGUAUCCUCUCAGAUUUUGGCUCCCCCGCCCCCCUCCCUCCCCAACAGCAAAGCCGGGCAGCAACAGCCUGUGGCCGCCUGGCCCCCAACAAGCCACACUCCUGAACUUAACACGUCUUAUCUUUGUUUGCUAAAACACUUUACUUGCCUCCUCACCUCCGUGUGGAGGAAACCUCCCCAAGGCCCUUUCAGCUUCAUUGUGUCUCCCUCAUUGUCCAGAACAACAGCAAACGGCUUUACUUGUGUUUGUUUAAUCAUAAGCCCCUCCCUGAUUGAAUUUUACUUUUUCGGAAAAGGAAACGAGCCAAAUACGUAAAGUAGCAGAAACCGAGUUUUUGUGUGAUUAGAAAAGCGUUCACCUCACCUCUCUAACUGCUAGGUAGCUACUGCUGUUUUAUUCAGCCCCCGGAGCUGGUUCAUAAGCGCUUGUCUGUAGAGCCACAAAUCCGUGACCUGCUGUCCCUGCCACGGCCCAGCUGCCUCCAACCCGACUUCUCUGCCUCAACUCCUCCCGGGAGCCUCCUGCAGCCCGUUUCCUGUACAGCCUGGGUCCCGGAGGAGUGGGCCUGUUUCCCACUGGCCCUGGCUUCCCAGUGAUUUAGUAGCUUCCUUUCUGUUAGUGUCGCCGAAGGAGGAACAGGAGGCCCAAAGGGGGCCUGGCUACUCAAAUUGGGGUCCCUGAACGACCAGCAGCAAGUCACCCAGGAACUGGUUGGAAAUGCAGAGCCUCCAGCUCCACCCUUGACCUACAAGCCAGACUCAGCACCUUAAGGAGACCCCCGCUCGCCUGGCUGCAGGGGAAGCAGAAUUCAGCCGUCCCUGGUGAUUCCGGUCCAGGGCCACGCGUCCAUGGUUCCCGAUAGCUGAGGGUCUCCAGUCAUUGGAACAAAAUCUUCUUUGUAUGUGACAGUCGUUUCCACAGGAAACCCUUUCAGGGCUCAGGUAUUUCACUGCUUAGCUCCAAUUCAUCACUUGGCCCUGGGCUUUCAUAUGUUGAGACAUCUUUUUGUUCUACGUCAUCACCUAAUUGUGCUUCUCCCCUCCCCGCACCCCGACCGGAGAGAAAGUCAAGGAGCCCAGCAGGGUCCAGGUGCCCACUGCCUCCGCGGCCUGGCCAGGACGCUUGGCGCUGCAGGGGAAGGACCUAAACACUCUUCCUUUUCGGUUCUUUGUCUAGGGUUUUGUUGUCAGUUAUUAUUAGCAUUGCCAUUAGCUUUUCUUUUUUUAAAAUUUAGCUGAGAAUGUUAGUGUGUUUCCAUUUGGGGUAAAAUUGAAAGCCACCAAUUGUGAGACAAAGCUCUGAAGUGAAAUCAACACGGAUCCCUUCAGCUGUGGAAACUUCCCUUCCUGAUUUCAUCCUCCCCAUGAGAUUUCACCAGGAGAAGGGCACGUCUCUGUGCAAAUGAAUGUGACUAUUCGGUGACUAAUGCAUGUUGCCUGGAAACACAAGGCGUUUGUGGUCCGAUUCAUGUCCAAUUGAGGAAAAAGAUGAGUCCUAAAGUAAGAGCAUCAAGUCAAUGACCCUUGACCAUUUGCCCAAGUGUAACCACUGGGUUUAUAGGAUUUAAAUAAGGGUAUGAGGACCAAGCAACCAAUUUUAAGUGUGUGGAUCAUAAAUAAAGAAAAGCCACAGGCCCAAAAUGACACAACUCAUGGUAAAAGCUCAAGAUAACAAACUUAGAUUUAAUAAUUGACAUAAUUACAGUUUCAAUCUCUCCUAGACAGGUAAUCUCCCGUCCCUGCCCCCCCCUUUUUUAACGUGAAAGGAGAAACGGAACCUUAAUCAACUGGUCUGGAAUUUUCCAGUCAAGUACCAGUAGGGUAAUCAGUCUAAAGAGGCUUCUCCUUAGAAAGAAGAGGCAUCUGCAUGAUAAACACCCUCUCAUCCUCUUCCCCCAAAGAAAAGAUGCCUUGGCCCCAGAACACGCCUUUCUUUUCUUUUGUAAAUCGCCUCCUUGCCCCACCUUCUUCCUAUGAAAACUUUGCAGGUUGUGCAACCCCUGAGAGCCCCUUGCAGUAGCUAAAAGCCUUGCUGUCUGCGGCCUGACUCAUGAAACGCUAGAAGAUAAUCAGACGUAAUGUAUUCGGCUGAAUUUUGUGUUGCCGCACGAUGAACCUGGCCUCCAUAUAAUAACAUUGAAGAGAGAAGAAGGGAGAGGGACAGAGAGUUAGAAACAUCGAUGAGAGAGAUGGAUCAGCUGCCUCCUGCACGCCCCCCACUGGGGACGUGCCCUCAACCCAGGUACAUGCCCUUGACCGGAAUUGAACCCGGGACCCUUCAGUCCGCAGGCCGACGCUCUAUCCACUGAGCCAAACCGGUUCGGCUGAUGUUUACUUUUAAAGCAAAAGAACGUGUGUAAUAAAAAAUGUGUAUUAGAAA